GCUUAAAUAGUUUAACAAAAAUGUUGGUUUGUGGGGCCAAAGAUAUGGAAAUCCAUUUUGAGCA
This 64-nucleotide transfer RNA is filed under the name Caridina multidentata. RNAcentral describes it as "tRNA-His". Lineage: Eukaryota; Metazoa; Arthropoda; Malacostraca; Decapoda; Atyidae. The record is from RNAcentral.